AACGAACGCUGGCGGCAUGCCUAACACAUGCAAGUCGAACGAGACCUUCGGGUCUAGUGGCGCACGGGUGCGUAACGCGUGGGAACCUGCCCUUAGGUUCGGAAUAACUCCCCGAAAGGGGUGCUAAUACCGGAUAAUGUCUUCGGACCAAAGCUUUAUCGCCUUUGGAUGGGCCCGCGUUGGAUUAGCUAGUUGGUAGGGUAAAAGCCUACCAAGGCGACGAUCCAUAGCUGGUCUGAGAGGAUGAUCAGCCACACUGGGACUGAGACACGGCCCAGACUCCUACGGGAGGCAGCAGUGGGGAAUAUUGGACAAUGGGCGAAAGCCUGAUCCAGCAAUGCCGCGUGAGUGAUGAAGGCCUUAGGGUUGUAAAGCUCUUUUACCCGGGAUGAUAAUGACAGUACCGUGAGAAUAAGCUCCGGCUAACUCCGUG
Molecule: ribosomal RNA, 433 nt
Filed under: uncultured bacterium
Lineage: Bacteria
Description: partial 16S ribosomal RNA
Rfam family: Bacterial small subunit ribosomal RNA
Source: RNAcentral